AAGUGGCAAACGGGUGAGUAACACGUGGGCAACGUGCCCCAGAGACGGGCAUAACGGUGGGAAACCACUGCUAAUUCCCGAUGGUCUGUUGGUGACUUAAGUCACCUUCAGUAAAAGGCUUCGGCUGCUCUGGGAUCGGCCCGCGCCCCAUUAGCUUGUUGGUAAGGUAACGGCUUACCAAGGCGACGAUGGGUAGCUGGUCUGAGAGGACGAUCAGCCACACUGGGACUGAGACAUGGUCCAGACUCCUACGGGAGUUAGCAUCCGGGAAUCUUGCACAAUGGGCGAAAGCCUGAUGCAGCGACGCCGCGUGGGUGAUGAAGGCUUGCGGGUCGUAAAGCCCUGUCAAGAGGGAAGAAUGCCUGGCUUCUGCCAGGUUUGACGGUACCUCUGAAGGAAGCCCCGGCUAACUACGUGCCAGCAGCCGCGGUAAUACGUAGGGGGCAAGCGUUGUCCGGAGUUACUGGGCGUAAAGCGCACGCAGGCGGUCUAUUAAAGCGGCGGGUUCAAUCUCGGGGCUCAACCCCGAAGCAGCUCGCCGAACUGUUAGACUGGAGCACGGGAGAGGGCAGUGGAAUUCCCGGUGUAGCGGUGGAAUGCGUUAAAUAUCGGGAGGAACACCAGUGGGCGAAGGCUGCUGCCUGGAACGUUUGCUGACGCUGAAGGUGCGAAAGCCAGGGGGAGCAAACGGGAUUAGAUACCCCGGUAGUCCCUGGCCGUAAACGA
RNAcentral lists this ribosomal RNA (726 nucleotides) under uncultured bacterium. RNAcentral's name for it is "bacterial SSU rRNA". It matches the Rfam family "Bacterial small subunit ribosomal RNA", at positions 93 to 809 of the family's 1533-position model. The record is from RNAcentral.